This is a long non-coding RNA of Alligator sinensis (Chinese alligator), 2254 nucleotides long. RefSeq lists it as uncharacterized. The transcript is spliced from 3 exons. NCBI's taxonomy places the organism in Eukaryota, Metazoa, Chordata, Crocodylia, Alligatoridae. The record is from RefSeq and is a predicted model, not a curated record.
GGUAACUCAAGGUUAAGUGUUGUUAAUUCAAAGCAGAAAGCUGGCAGAGCAAAGAAGCAAUGCUGGGGAGAAGCCCAGAGCCUGGAGCCGGAGCAAGGAGACUACAGGGGAGCUAAGAGGCCUUCACAGCUAUAGCUGAUUGAACCUUGGUAAAACAGGUUUGUAGAACAUAAAAGGAAAAUUACAAAACAUCUCAUUCCAACUACAGUUAUAUGGCAGAGUUCAUAGGACUAAAGCAGCACUAGAAGUGUAUUGUUAUUCAGAGAUAACUGUGAACAUAUGGAGGAGCAAGCAUUAAGUUUAAAAGUUAUUCCUGUUUCUUUCCCAGCCUUAAAUGCCUGGCAAACAUCAAGAAAAAGGGUCCAAAGAGUUCACUCAAAAUCUCUCCUACACCUGCUCUCUCCAGCUGUCAUAUAUGAUUAGUAUGGCCCUGCCUCCCAUGAGGUGAAGCCAGAAGAGGUUGCCUUAUACCUCAUCUGCAUAUAAAUUUAGAGAAGAACCCAGGACUCAUGACAAGAACACCUGGUUCCAGUCAUGAGGAAUGGGGUGCUAAUUAGCCCAUGGAUCUUUGCGUGGGGGAGGGAGGUACCUGGAUUAUACAUUCAUAUUUAGUAAUUCCUCACUGUGGGGGCACCAUAGCUUCAAAUGCUGUGAACUUUGCUGGGGCCCAGCCCAAAGAACUAUAUGAGGCUUUUAGCUUUGGAUUAAUAGUAUGCAUUGUUUGUACUAUAUAUGAAUAGGUAUAAAAGAGUUGCUUAAAAGUGUGUUUAUGGAGUACUGUGCCAAAACUUGCAGCAGUUUCAAAAUAGGUAAAAUGCAUCAAAUUCUCUAUAAAUUAAGUGUAUGGGUACCUGUAGUAAUUUGCCUAUAUGUUUAAUUAUGUUUAUUUCAGUGUAUUUACAUUUGCCCCUCACUACCAUGUGCUUGAGGACAGCAUGGUCAGAUAGUAAAGAAGUGGAGGAAGAAAGGGGAAGGGAGACACCUGACCCCCAAAUUUAUUUUCCUUGCUGCAGCAGUGGGAGAGGGACACAUUCAAGGAAAACCAUUAAUAAUUAGAUUCUAUACCUAGGCAUUUUUAACAAAUUUCUAAAUUUUCCAUAUAUAGAAUUUAAUUAUUGAGGGCUUUCCUAUAUUCAAGGUAGUUUUAUAUUCAAGUAAAUAUGGUAAUAUAGUUUUUCAUCUCUAGUUGUACCUAAAGCUGAUGUGUGCAUCAUGACAUAUGGUGUGAAGGUAUGUUUAUAUUCUAUAAUGUGAAUGACAUUAUUCAGUAAUGUAAGUAGUAUAGUGUGUACAGCUUUCAUCUAAAUUCUUAUCAUGAUUAAAAGUAGGCAGGACUAAAGGAGGGGUUUAAAAGUGGGCUUGGCUAAAGACAGAAUGUAACGUAGGUAGCACUAAAUCCUAAAUGGAAUGUACCCUUUUUCUGUUACUAUUGCCUGGCCUAGUAAGAGCAGGAAAAGUUUUGUUUUUUUAAUUAAAAAGCUGCUGAAAAAUGCUAAUCAUACCCUAUCUGUUAUGCCCAAGAAUAAUACAUGUCGUUAUAGUUCUUGACAACCUUUUGGUAGUGAACUUCCUUGUAAAUACCCUUUUACUAAGUCUGUAGAGGGUCUGCCUGAAACCUUUAAUGAUAAGUUGUUUCCCAUUUCCAGUUCAUUUCUGGGUCUGCCAAGGAGCAUGCAGGGGGGGCCCCCAUGCUCCCCUGGCUCGGCAACUGCUUCUUCCUGGGUCGGGGGGGCCACCCGGGGUCCCUCCACACCAGUUGCCAAGCCAGGAGAGUCCGCUGGGAAACACAUUUCCCAGCGGACCCAGAAGUGGACCAGAAAUGGUAUGUAGAACAUUUUUUUAAAGCUGUGUCUAUUUCCGAAUUACUCAUUCUCUGAAUUAGCAUUGAAUCUUCAGAUUUGGAUUCAGCUGAAUCGAAUUGGGGACAGUGAUUUGAAUCACUGAUUCAAGCCAAAUCUGAAUUGAAUAGGGCCUGCUUUGCACACCCCUAGUACAGAAUGUGCUCUGUCAGGGGGGAAAAGAGCCAUACAAUUAACCCAAAUACAAAGUACAUAGUUCCUUUUAAGAAUUCCCAAGACAAGUUACAAGCACUUAUCCUGGCAUGAGAAAUGUAACCUGGUAAGGUCCCAUUUUUUCUAGAUGCUUUGAGGAUGCUGUAGCAAAACCCCCAGUUUUUCUAUCUUUUUUUUUUUUAAUUUAUUUUAAAAUGCAUUCCCUCCCCUUCCCCAAACAUUUCUGACUGUUUCUCUCCCUC